This 363-nucleotide ribosomal RNA is filed under the name Triticum aestivum (bread wheat). RNAcentral's name for it is "partial small subunit ribosomal RNA". The record is from RNAcentral. Lineage: Eukaryota; Viridiplantae; Streptophyta; Magnoliopsida; Poales; Poaceae.
AUGGUAAAUUUUAUGGAGUACUUCACUGGAGAUAUGUUGUCUGACAUUCCUACACAGGAACAUAUGACAGAUUUUAGAACAAAACUAGCUAUCAUUUUGGUGGACUCAGAAUUGAAUGAUGAUAAUAUAAGAAAUCGAGACAUGGAAGAGGACGAUAACAACACAGAUCCCACAGAAUGUAUGAUUCUGGAUAGACCCCCUGAGAAUUUCAAAAUAUCAAAUACAUCAACAGAAGUUGAGCUCAUCUCACGGUCAUUUAUUCUUUCACCGUCUGUCAACCCAACAAACGAUGAUUUAAUAGAUGAACUUUGCUUGUUCAUCAGUAUGGUUGAUGAUGUCGCUCUACUAGAAAAAGUUGUCUGA